Molecule: long non-coding RNA, 1099 nt
Filed under: Gallus gallus (chicken)
Lineage: Eukaryota; Metazoa; Chordata; Aves; Galliformes; Phasianidae
Description: long non-coding RNA NONGGAT000975
Source: RNAcentral
GGACACAUAAGUGGUGAGGAGUAAGAACAACCCACCUUAGUAUGCAGCACAGCACAACCUUAUGGCAUUCUCUUGGGAGAUAAGUGAUGCUGGUUCUAGUUCCCCCAGGCAGAGGAGGAAAUUAAACCCAGGACUCCCACAUCCUUUAUGAGCGAAUAAAAAGUGGCUGUCUUCCUCUCAGCUUUGUGAAUAUAAUCGUGAUAUUUUCUUCCGGGGAAUCAAUUUGGUAAGUCCACGCUGAAUUCAACAAUCAUUUUGGGACAAUGGAAAAAAAAAGCAAACAUUUUUCAAUGAGAAGGAUGCUGGCUAAAAAAACAUUCUAUUGACUGUAGUGGCAGUACAACAACCAGACAGACCCCAUCACUCUGCCACUUUAUAUCCAGCAGCUGUAGGACAGGAAACUCUCAUACUUGCAGACAGCGGAGGAACUUACCUGGCAAUGUGAAAUCUUGCUAGGAAAAAAGGGUUGUGCGGGAGUAAUGAAAUCCUCUGGGAAUGGCAGAUGAAACCUGAACACCGGUGGGACUGCCUUGAGUUCUGACACAAUUACCACAGUGCAUAAGAAAAACCUGCAAAGAACAGGCUCACUCCGAGGGCUGAGAUGUGACCAGUGUCCCAGUUAUUAUUAGCUACUAAAGGUCUGAAAAGGUUCAAACUCCAUCUUUGUAGGAAUUCAAACAGAGGGAUGCAUGAGGCCUUGCUGACGGCUUCCAGACUGAAAAAGAAAGCGGAGGGAAAAGGGGCAUUUCUCUGACCUUCCUCGGUGAUUGCUCAGAACUGUGUCUACUGAUGGCCGUGUCCAACACCGACAAGAAGAGGCAAGAGAAGUCAAAAUCUGAGGAGUGAGAUGUUCUGCUAGCACAGAAAAGCCACCUGGAGAAACAAAAACAAAUGUCACACAGCUGCGAGUGGGAGAAAUGCUAUUGUUUUCCUGGUAGCCCGUCCUUCCAGUCUUCUGAGAGAAGCGGGGGAAGGAGGAUUUGACCCUCACUGAGUGAAGGAGUUGCUGAUUUAGUCAAGUCAAGAACAGGAUGCGACGCUUUGGUCUAGUGCAUUGACAUUUGCAUCUCUGAGUGAGAAUGCUUAUUUUCAUUGGAGG